GGAUUUGGUUUAGGAUUUAGGAUUUGAUUAUGAUUUGAUUUAGAAUUUAAGAUUUGAUAAGGAUUUGGUUAAGGAUUUAGGAUUUUUUUAAGAUUUGAUAAGGAUUUUGUUAAGAAUUUAGGAUUUCUUUAAGAUUUGAUUUAAGAUUUAAAAUUUGAUUAGAAUUUGAUUAGAAUUUGAUUUUGGAUUCAUGAUUUGAUUAGGAUUUAAUUUAGAAUUUUAUUAGGAUUUGAUUAAAGAUUUAGAAUAUGUAUAGGAGUUAGUUUAGAAUUUGAUUAGGAUUUAAUUAAAGAUUUAGAAUAUGUAUAGGAUUUAGUUUAGAAUUUAGGAAUUGAUUAGGAUUUGAUUUAAGAUUUGGAGUUUGUCUAGAGCUUGCUUUAGAAUUUAAGAUUUGUUUAGGCUUUGAUUUAGGAUUUAAGAUUUGUCUAGGAUUUGAUUAAAGUUUAUUAGGAUUUCAAUUAGGAUUAAAUUCGAAAUUGAUUGAUAUUUAUUUAAGAUAUAUUGUGAUUAUUUUAAAAUUUUUUAGAACUUCUUAAUGAUUCUUUUAAAUUUUAUUUUAGAUUAUCUUUUAACUCAUUUAAGAUUUUUUAUU
This 592-nucleotide long non-coding RNA is filed under the name Physcomitrium patens. Its description in RNAcentral is "long non-coding RNA (PPAT_LNC005307)". The record is from RNAcentral. Lineage: Eukaryota; Viridiplantae; Streptophyta; Bryopsida; Funariales; Funariaceae.